Molecule: ribosomal RNA, 507 nt
Filed under: uncultured bacterium
Lineage: Bacteria
Description: bacterial SSU rRNA
Rfam family: Bacterial small subunit ribosomal RNA
Source: RNAcentral
AGAGUUUGAUCAUGGCUCAGGAUGAACGCUGGCGGCGUGCUUAACACAUGCAAGUCGAACGGAGUUUUAACGGAAGUUUCGGAUGGAAGUUUAGAAACUUAGUGGCGGACGGGUGAGUAACGCGUGGGUAACCUGCCUCAUACAGGGGGAUAACAGUUAGAAAUGACUGCUAACACCGCAUAAUAUAGCGAAACCGCAUGAUUUUGCUAUCAAAUAUUUAUAGGUAUGAGAUGGGCCCGCGUCUGAUUAGCUAGUUGGUGGGGUAAAAGCCUACCAAGGCGACGAUCAGUAGCCGGCUUGAGAGAGUGACCGGCCACAUUGGGACUGAGACACGGCCCAAACUCCUACGGGAGGCAGCAGUGGGGAAUAUUGGACAAUGGGGGAAACCCUGAUCCAGCGACGCCCGCGUGAGUGAAGAAGUAUUUCGGUAUGUAAAGCUCUAUCAGCAGGGAAGAUAAUGACAGUACCUGACUAAGAAGCCCCGGCUAACUACGUGCCAGCAGCAGC